This is a non-coding RNA of Equus caballus (horse), 12017 nucleotides long. NCBI's taxonomy places the organism in Eukaryota, Metazoa, Chordata, Mammalia, Perissodactyla, Equidae. The record is from RefSeq and is a predicted model, not a curated record.
UAGCGGGGCUCGGCUGGGGGUGGGCCCGCUUCCCCGCCGCGCCGGCCUCGACGCGGCUCCCUCGGCCCCUCGAACUGCUCUCUUUUCCGCUCUUCCCCCAUGAGCUCGCGUCUGGCGCCGCUGAAAGCGCCCCUGCUGCUCGCACUCGGGAGGUUGGCCGCGAGCUGCCCACGCCCGCCUCGACCCCCGAGCCCCCGGCCCCUUCCUCCCGCUUCACCUCGGCCGCCCCCUUCUCGAUCCACUUCACACAUCCUUUCCCUUCGGUGCCUCGGAAGGUCCUUCCUUCCAGCCUUGAGAGCUCCCUCUUCCUCCCAGCUCCCCUCUUCCUCCCAGCUCCCCUCUUCCUCCCGGAGCCUUCCUGCCGCCCGGGUCUGCAGUUCCCCAGCCUGAGUCCCCUGUUGUUUGGCGGCAGAGACUCCUUUCUAGGCUGUGCUUCGAGGUGCCUCCUGCGUAACCGCGACAAUGAUCAUAAUACCGGCCCCAGAUCCACAGGAGGAGACACUGGAGUAGAUUUUUCCGUCAGGCGCUCAGUGUUGAAAGUGAAGAGCUCUUUAGAUGGCUUACUACACAGGAGGCUAAUAUCUUAGUUUAAAGAAAAUUUGAAGUAUAUAAAAAAUAAUUUACUCAUCAUCAAGCCUCAGCAAAGAUCGAUUUGUGGCCAUUGAUGUUUCAUCUAUACCUCUACACGUCUCACCUUACCUCCCAUUAUAUUCUAUGUAAUUUUUUAAUGAAUACUUGUAAUUUAAUCACCAUUCUAUUGGACAUUUUAGGUAUUAACAAUUUUUGGCUACUUUAAGAAUAUUUAAUGGUCGUCCUUUGAGCAAAACUUUGAUUUUCUUAGAGUAUAUUUCUAGUGUUGGGAUUAUGUUAAAAGAUAUUCACUUAUUUAAGGCUUUUGAUACAUAAUUUUUUAAAUGUCCUCUACAAGGUUUUACUAGCUUACCAUCUAAGCAGAUAUAUAUAAGCAAAAGAUUAUUGGAACAUGUAUUAUGAGAUAAUUUAAACAUUUAGAAAAUAACAGAAUAAUAAAGCAAAAUAUCCAUAUACCCACCAUACAGUUUCAACAGAUUAUCAUAAUUGUUUAAGAUUAUUUUGAGGAAAUAAAACAUUUCAUAUGGAAUUGAAGACUUUGUUGUCACUUUCUUCUCUGAUCCCAUUCCCUUUUCUUUCUUCCCAGAGAUAAUCUGAGAAUUCUAGGAAUGUGUCCUUUUGGUCUAUAUUUUAAUAUUUUUACUACACAUGAAUUUGUAUGGUCAGUAUAUGGUGAGUUUUUUGUUUUUCUUUUCAUAACUAGCUAUCUUGAGACUAAUCUCUUUUUAAGAUUCAUUCAUGUCAAUACGUAGAGAUCUAGUUUUUUUCAUUUUAGCUACUACAUAGCAUUCCAUUGUAUGAUUGUGUUAAGAUUUGUUUAUCUAAUCUCCUAUGAUGGACAUUUGGAUAGUUUCUAAUUUUUGCAUAUUAUAUACUAUUUUAGUUAAUACUAGCUGCUCUAAUGAGUAAAUCCUGAAAUCUCAAAAGCUUGACAUAAUGUUAGUUUAUUUCUUGCUCACAGAGUAUCUUCAGUGGAGAAGAAGGGGCUGUGUUCUAUGGAGUCAUUAAGGGACCCUGGCCACUAGAGGGUCUGUCAUCUUCACCCUGUGGUUUCCAAGGUUGCUCUAGGCAUCAGCAUCCAUCCAGCAAACAAAAGAAGAGUGGCGAAUGGUAUUGGAGGUUUUUAGGGGCCAGUCCUUAGAAGUGGAAUAUAUAAUUCUGUUCACUUUCCAUUGACUAGAAUUCAAGUCAUGUGGCUCCACCUAAGGCCCACAUUUCCCAGCGAACAGGACCAGGAGAUAUAGUUGCUAGUUUGGCAGUUAAUUUAAGAAACAACUCUACACUAUGCAAAAAAAGAACACACAGCUUUGGUGAAUAGCUGGCAGCCUCUGCCCUACAAAUAAUUGUAUAGUUUGUACAUGUCUCCUUGUGCAUAUGUUCAUAGAUUUCUUGAGUAUACACCUAGAGGUGGAAUUGUCAGAUUGAAGUUAUGUACACUCUUAUUUUGUUAGAUAUUGCCAAAUUACUUUGUCCAAUGGCACUGUAUGAGGGGUCUGGUUUCUCUACGUUCUCACUAAUAUUUGAACUAGCAUACCACUCAUCUUGUAUUUUUACAUAGCUGUGUGCCAUUAAUGCCACUGAACGAUGUUAGAAAGAGGAAAAUGCUUAAAGCUGGCUAUAAUCUUCAUUUAGGGCAUUUUGGAAAAGGACACUUGCCUAAAAGUCUAGACCAGCGCUGUUCAGUAGGAAUAUAAUUGAGCCACAUAUAUAAUUUGAAAUUUUCUAUUAACCAUAUUUUAAAAAUUGGAAGGAGGUGAAUUUAGUUUUAAUAGUUUAUUUUAUUUAACCCAGUAUAUCCAAAUAUUAUAUAUCUAAAUAUAUUACCAUUUAAACGUCAUCAAUAUUAAAGUAUUAUUAAUGAGAUAUUUUACAUUUUGUAUACCAAGUUUUCAAAAUUCUGUGUAUAUUUUACAUUUAUAGCACAUCUCAACUUGGACUAUCACAUUUCAAGUAUUUAGUAGCCACAUGGGCCUACUAUAUUGAAUGGCACAGGUUUAGACUUAGUAACAAAAACUUGAAUUCUAUAAUACAUCUGACAUUUAAUUUCAAAGUCAUAUUCAAAUAGGUUCUCACUCCAGUUACCAAGUACAUCUUUAUUGAGCCUUUGGAGGAAUAACAAGCUGAAAUUAUUUUUCCUAGAUUUCUUUCUUCAGAUUUAGGUUAUUAAAUUGUUAAUUUCUCCUCACAUAGUUAAUGAGGUGCUAGUUUCCUAUUAGUUUUCUAUUGCUGUGUAACAUUUGACCAUAAACUUAGUGGCUUAAAACAACACCCAUUUACUAUCUUACUUUGUAGGUCAGAAGUACAGGAUGUUCCUCUGGGUUCUGUGCAUAAGGUCUCGAGUCAAGACUGGAGUCAAGGUGUCAGCCAGGCUGGACUCUCGUGUGGAGGCUCAGGGGAAGAUUUCACUUCCGAGCCCAUUCAGGUUUUUAACAGAAUCUACAUCCUUGCUGUAUAGGUCUGAGGUCCUCAUUUCCUUGCUGGCUGUCAGGCAGGGCCUGAUUAUCACUCCUAGAAGCCACCCACAUUCCUUCUUACAUGGUUUACUUCCAUCUUCAAACCAGCAAUGGCACAUCAAGGCUUUAUCAUCCUUCAAAUCUCUGUGGCUUCUCCUGCUGCUAGCCAGAGAAAGCUCCCUGCUUUUAAGGGCUCGUGUGAUUAAAUCAGGUCCACUGAGAUAAUCUCCUUAUCUUAAGAUCAAUUUGCCAUAUAACAUAAUACAAUCACAGGAGUGAUAGCUCAUAGUGUUCACAGAUUUUAGUGAUUAGAGUGGGGCAUCUUUGGGGGACCAUUUUAGUAAUUCUUUGUACCACAGUAGAGAAGCAAGAUGAAAGAGCAUUUUAAUUAUUUUGUUUAGAGGUCUUUUAAUUUCACUUCUAAAUGAAAGAAAAAUAACUCUGCACAUUUCCUUCUGUCUCCACUCCCACCAACCUGGUCCAAGCUUCCAUUAGCUCUUAGCUGGCUAAUGCAGUACUCUUAACUGCUAUUUCUGGUUCCACAUUUCCCUCCCUUCAGUUAGUUUUCCAUACAGCAAUCAUCUGGUCUCAACUUGAUCAGCCUCUCCUUUGCUUAGUUACUAUGCUUCAGUCCCAGUGGUCUUGAUUUAGUUCCCAGAACCUGCCAUGCUCUGCCCUGCCUCAGGACUUCUGCACUUUAUUUCCCUCUGCCCGAGCAACUUUUCUCCUUAUUUCCAACUGUUUUUCUCAACCAUUAGGUCUCAUCUUAAAUCGCUCUUCCUCAUGGAGGUGUUUCCUUACCUAUGGUCUAAAUUAAAUCUUGCUUUUUGGCUUUCACAGCAUCUGUUACUUUUUCUUUGUAUCCACCUAUCAUAAUUUAUUCAUUUAUUAGUUAUUUAAUGUCACUUCUCCAGACUGAGUGCAACAGAUAAAGAAUGUUGUGUUCACCUUUGUGUAUCCAGCACCUAAUACAGGUCCUGGCACAUAGUAGGAACUCAUUAAAUAUGUGUUGAAUAAAUGAAUGAAUCUUCAACUUUUCCUUUGCUCAGUCAACCAGACUGUUUCCUUUCCAGAUUUUCAUAGGCCUAUUCUCCUUCCCUUUUUUCUCUUUGUUAUUAUUUUCUUCCUCUGCUCUCUUCUGAAUGGUAGAGGAGACUGGCUUCCCAUUUUAUGUUAUUGUUACAUGUUUGUCAGCAUUUUCAUCUAGCUGCAGAAAUAUGUUUGCACUUCUCAUUAUUAAUGAAUACUCCACAACUUUGUAAAUGAACAUUUUCAUGGACUUGACGGAGUGUUCUCAUGUAAAUUCUUGAGAAUAUUGUGAACAAUAAUAAUUCUGUAUAGAGAGUAAUGAGCUGGUUAAAAGAUUGAGAGUAUUCUUAAUUCCUUGUGUGUAUUUUCACUUAAGACUUUACCUUCCGGUGUGUAGCUCUGAGGGAGACCAGUCCAUUCUUCCUAUCUUAGUUUAAGUCAUUAAAGAAAAAGAAAAAGAACCAAAAAACUAAUCUGCUAGUUAGAACUAGCAAAGGUAAUUUUUUUCCUGGUGACUUGAUUCCAUGAUGAUUUGUAAGAUUCCUACAGAAACAUUACAGUUCUUAUUUUUAUGGAUUUGAAUUAUUUGACCUACUUCUACCACAAGGUACAAACUCUGGUCUUUGGUCCUUAUAUAGUGAUUUCUUAUUCACCGUUUUCUACUUUGUGAAUCUAAAAUACAAAACUAAAAAUUGCUUUUUUAAUAAGGCUGUUUUUUGUGAAGUAUAUUAUGCACAGCCAAUAGUCACCUUUGCAUUAAAAAAAAGCAAGCAAUGAAAAAUAAAAUGUAAUGCCCUUAAGGUGAUAUAUAUAGUACUUAUAAAAUUGUGUUCGAGGUAUGUGAUAUAUAAAAAUAUUUCUUAGGCUAAAAGUCUAGAGGGCAAGAAUCAUGUAACUAUGUUCUUUAUUGAACGUCACAGGUUAUCUCAUAACUAUGAGAGGUAACAGUCAUUAAAGCAGGCUAUUACUGAUUUUGCAAUAGGAAUGACCUCUGAAGUUUUGGGAUUUGAUUUCUGGCAACCUUAAUAUUUGUUAGUUCAUAUAGUCUUGGUUUAAGGUCACUUAUAAAUACAGUCUCAUCUAUUACCUUGACAGAGAUUUGUCUUAUUAUUCACGAUCUACUCAUACACAAUUAGAGGAACAAAAAUAUUUUCAACUUUUUGAGGGAAAGUUAACUGUACAUCUAGAAACAAUUUUCAGUCUUUUAAAAACAGAUAAAUACAGAUUUGCAUUUAAAUGCCCUUUUUUAGGAUACUCUCUAAUCUUGGAUUGAUAAAUACAAGUAUCUUUCUGUAAGACUUAAUCAACAAUGUAAACUUGCAGAGGGUCAGCAUUUUCUGCACCUGAAAUAAUAAUUGUAGAACCAGUAGUAGUAGUAAACUGCUCUGUUUCUGUUGCUGCUACAUUUAUUGAGAGCUUAUUCACCUACCCUUUUAUAUUUAUUACCUUAUUUAAUCCUCACAAAAAGUAUUCGAUAUUAUGUUCUAUUAUUAGCCCAUUUUGCAGAGGCAAAAGCCAAGGUGAAGAAAGUUUAAAGAACUUUCUCAAGUUUCCACCAUUUGUGGUGUUGCUAGGAUGUGAAUCCAAGCAGAUUGACUUGAGAAAUUAUUGCUAUGAAGUUCAUUUUAUGAUUUUCCUGCUACAUUACAAACAUAUUUCUACAGGAAAAAUCUCAGUGAAGAUACAAUUAGAUUAUUUGAGUUUUGACCACUGCUGUUGCUUAGUUCAGGUUUUUAUUACUUCUUGCCUUGAUUACGUUAGUAACCUCCCAAUUAAUCUGCUGGUCAUUAGCCUCUUCCCUCUAAUCUAGCCUGACUGGAUUUUCUGACAUAAUUGAACUCACUGCAAUUCUCUGAAGAUAUCAUGUUAUUUCUUGCCUUUCUGCCUUUGUAGAUGCUCUUUCUUCCUUAGGAGCAUCCGCUUUCUGGCUAACUCUAACUAACCUCCCUUUUGAGGGAGAGAGGGUAGUUCCAUUUUUAUUUUAUCUUCCACCCAAAAAGCCCAUCUUGCUCAGUAUUACCUGUAAAUAAGGAGCAGUUUAAUGUUUUUGAACCAAAUAUUUUUCUAAACUCUUGACUCUAAUGAAAGAUAAGAAGCAAUUAAUAAUUAGAGCUGCUUAUUAAAAACAUAGUUUGAAAUCCUGAAAUUCUUUAAACAAUAGACUGAAAAGAAAAGUUCACAACUUGGUGUAUAGUUCAUAACAAUGGCAAACAAACAAACAUAUCAUUCACUAUUCACUCACUAAGGUGCCUGGAGAUAUUUUUUUCCCCUUUUGUACUUUGCUAAUCCUGCAAUCUAUUUAGAUUUUUCAAUUUCAGAAUUAGUUGUUGAAGUAGCCAAAGGCACCUAUUUUCUAUAUAGUUUUAAUGCCUACUGUAGUAGCCAUCUACUCAACAUAGUGUCUCUUUUGGAAAGAAAUCCUUCUUAUUUUUUUAAAAUUAAGUACAAAGACAAGAGAAAUAUUUUUGCUCAUUAGUUUGCAGUCUUUAUUAACGUCGUAUUUAGUAUGUGAUCUUUUAAAAGCCAGUAAAAUACAUAGGGUCAUUAAUAAGCAAUGGAUUAUGCAUUAACAUAAAAUAAUGAUCACUUGUAUUCUAGAAGUAUCAUGGAUUACAUUUCCCACCAUUGGGUCCAUAUGCUGUAAUAUAGUUUUGGAAUCAUUAUCAUUGUAAAAUCAUUAUUCCUUUGCAUAAUGCAUUAAAAAAAUGGCUCAAAAUAAAUCUUGUCCUUCCAAGUCAGAAUUUCAUUUAUAUGUUAAAUAUACAGUUUAUGCUCAACAUAUAUUACUACAGUAAAACUAUCCUUGACUAUCAAGGAAAGGAGGAGGAAAUAGGACAGUUGAUAUCAGCUUCCAGUGCAGGUCUGUAAAAAUAUAUUGAAAAAUAUAAAACAAAAGCAUUCUCUCAAAAGCGGCCUACAAAUAGUCUUACUCAAACCAACUCAUUAAACAUUACAAUGGAAGAGUCCAUUAAAUAUUACAUUAAGUAAUUGGGAUAUUUAUAUAUUCUUACAUAGAUCAAAAUUACCAAACCAUGAAACUGAAUUUCUUUUCAUUUCCCCAAGGACUAUAAAAGGAAAUUUUAAUUAAGCUUUGCUAUGUUAAGAAUUUCCUUGGCUUUAAAAAGCUAUUUAUUUUACUUUAACUUUUCUAAUUGGUUCUCUAAACAAAGAUAGCCUUGGGCUGACCCCAUGGCCUAGUGGUUAAGUUCUGUGCGCUCAGCUGCAGCAGCUGGGUUCAGUUCCCGGGUGUGAACCUACACCACUCAUUGGCAACUAUGCUGUGGCAGUGACCCAGGUAAAAACAGAGGAAGAUUGGCUACAGAUGUUAGCUCAGGGCAAAUCUUCCUCAGCAAAAAAUUAAAAAAUUAAAAAAAUAAAGAUAGCCUUAUGUGUGGCUUGGUAAUUUCGUGGCUAAUAUAUACCAUGAAAAAUUAUUGCAGGUAUUCAGUUCCUGAGGCAUAUAUGAUCAGCUAUGUUCAAGCAAGAUAUUGAAUCAUUUAGUAUUUCGUGAUAUAUAAAAUUAACAGUAAAUCCUAAAAACAAUAUGAUUAAAGACUGUCCUUGUUUGAAACUGACAUUGGUGGAGUUUAAUUUCUUAUUCACUUGUUUUCCACCUCAUUACAGAAAGGAUUUCAAGUGGCAAAUUAAUUUUACUAUAAUGGGAGUAAUAUUUUAUUUAGUCAUGAAAAAAACAUUAAGUACCUACUAUAUGCCAAGCACUGUGCUAAAUGCUGCUUAUACAGAAAUAAAAUAUAUGUUCCUUUCUUCAAGAAGUAUGCAGUUUAGAGGAAAAGUCAGACAAGUUAACCAGCAAGUACAGUACAAUGUGAGUAUAAUAAAAAUUAUUAACUGUUAUGUAUGAGGUGAUAUACCAAGUUCAUUACAUGCUGUUGUUUUCCAUUUUUAAAUCAGAAAAUUAAUGUUCAGCAACAUUAGGUAACUUGUCCAAGGUCACACAGUAAGUGGUAGAAUCAGAUUUGAACUCAGAUGUGUCUGACUCCAAAGCUUAUUAUCCUGUGGCCUCUAUGUACUAGUAAGAGUUAAGACACAGCAAUGCAGAGGAUUUUAUGGGGACACUAAAGUGGGUGUGCUAGUGUAGGCUGUUAAAUUCUGGAAGGGGAUACUUAAGUUGAGUUUAGAAGACUAAUUAGGAAUUAGCCAAGAGGAGGAGGAAGCUGAAAAGCAUGUGCAUAGAGACACUACCAUGUGCAAAGGCAUGGAGAUGAGAAAGCAUAGCCCAUUUGGCACUUCUCUGGCUAACUCUUAUUGCUCUGAAUAAAAGAGGGCAAACCUGUAAGAAAGAGCAGAGAAAUAACUCAAAAGUUAUUCAUUUAUUCAGUCAAUAUUGGGCACUGUAGACUCUGUAUUCACUGCAUCUCUGGGGAGAUACUGGAAUUUUUGAAACUACAAGUCAUAGAAAUGCCACUAAUGUUAAACAGAAUGCCCCAUAAUCAGGAAACAGAAGAGCCUUAUGCUCUUUCUUCAGCCCUCUAAUUUAUUUUAUUUGGCUUUUAGAACAAUGGCUUCUAAAUUGUAAAAUCUGUCUCUCUCUUUUUUUUUUCUGAUCAUUUGUCUCAUCAUGCUACCUGAUGCGAACCUGUGUGGAGAUUUUAGAACUGAAGACUGCAUAAAGUGUUCUCAUUUCAACUAUGCUUAAAUCCUAUUUACUUCUUAAAGAUUUAUGAAAGGAUAAGUAUGUUUCUCUGUAUCAGUAUCUACUGUUUGACCUUAUCUUUCAGAGGAUAAAUGUGCUAAAAGUACUGAAACAGAUCCUUUCAAGGACAUGUCUGGCGAGAUAGAAGUACAUCAAGCUGCUGGAUGGAUAUACAGGACAACACAAGACCAUGACCCAGAUUAUAAAUCAACGUAUAAAAUUUAGGAGGUAGGGAAUGGUUUUUCUGAGUUUGAAGGAGUAAUGUUUAUCAUUAAAUACAUUUAUCAUUCAGUGAAAGAAUUAUUAGUUUAUUUUCUCCAUCUUUAUAAUCUAAAGAGACAGCCUUCAACACUCAUUUCAGAUGCUAUCUUACCUACUAGAAGAAUUUCCCUGAGGUCAGCUAGAACUAAUUAUUCCCCCCACCGAACUCCCCAGCAUUUUAUCUGUAUCUUUUUAAAAGACAUUCAAUAAUUUUUUCCUUUUUCUUAUGCUUAUUAUUUAUAUACAUAUCUUAUCACCUCUAUUAAGCUAUACGUAACUUCCUUGAAGCAAAAUUCAUGUUUGAGCCGCAGCACUAAGAUUUGUACAUAUAAGGCACUGAGCUAACACUUAAUGAAAUUAAGUAUAGCUUCCAUAUCAUAAUCUAAAUCAUUAGAGCAGUGUUUCUUAAAGUAUUGGACAUGAAUUACCUACUUCAGAAUCAUCUGGAAUAUUUUGUUAAAAAUGCAGGCCCCUGUGCUCCUGCCUACACCUACUGAAUGAGAAAUUCUAUUGGUUCCUGGAAUUUUGUUUUGAGUAAAAAUUCAACGUAAUCAUGAUGCACACUAAAGGUUGAGAACCCACUGCAUUACGGAGAAUGUAAGAAUCCAAAUUAAAAUUGAAUUUACAUGAAAUUGCAGAUGUGCUUAAUGUUAAAUAAUAACAUUUCAUACAUAGCAAGGUGUAAAAUAUAAGAAGAAAAAAGUGAACAGGAAGAUAUUUUCAAUGCAGUUUUUCUGUAUGUCAGUGAAGAUCAUUGUGGAAUAUUUUGGAACUUUCAGUCUUAAAAAAGCAUAUGUAGAUGUAAAUAAUUUUGAAUAUUGAUGACCGUUUUCUAUGAAUGCAUUUGAAGUUAAGCACCAUAGUUUUAUAACUAAAGACUAAGAAAAGAUGCAUUGAACGUUAUCUGCACAUUCUAAAAUUGCUGUAUGCAUAGAUGUCUUUUAGGGCAUGAUUUCCUAUAAUGUAGUUUGUGACUAAUAGUUCUACUAUAAGAAAUAGUGUGGUUCAGAUACCAUUUAACAAUAUGUUUUUCCUUAUCUUUCUUUAACAAAGAUAUUGUAUUUUAGAUUUACUUGUCUGUAAAUGUUUUAUCUGUGAUUUUUAAAGAUAUGAAAUUGUUGAUAGAAUGCCAGCUAUCUUGGCUUUAUGCAUUGUUGAAGCUGUAAGGUCAAGGGUAAGCUGUAGUAAGCAGGUCCAAUAUAGGUCUUCAUCUAGAUAGUUCUUUUAUUUCCAGUGUGAUGUACAAUAGUUUUAUAAACUUAAGCUGUUUUUAUAAUAGUAAUAAAGAUAAGAAAUGCUUAAAUAAUGCUUGUAAUGUAGAGCAUUGGUCCAGGUACUUUUCAUAUAUUAAUUCGUUUAAUUCUCACAGUAACCAAAUGAGAUAGGCACUGUUAUUAACCACACAUUACAGGUAAGGAAACUGAGGUACUGAGUAAGAAAUUUGUCCAAGUUCAUACAGCUGGUAAAUGGCUAGGUUAUGAACCCAUACGGUAUAACUUCAGAGUCAGUCACUUUACGAUGUUGUUACUUUUUUAGACUAGCAAUUAAUUUGACUUUGUCUUAGUCAUUAUCAGGAGCAUUUUCCAGCAAUAACAUGGCAAAUGUUUCCAAGUAAAAAUUUUAAACAAAUUCAACCUACCUCUAAACAUUAUCUUUUUUGAAUUGUCUUAAUGCUAUUCCUGCUUUUUACUGAUAUGUAGUAAUUUUGAGGUUUCUUAAAAUUAAUUGGAUGUCAAAAGAUUGUUUUAGCAUCCCAUUUUUGGUGUUUGUGAUUGUGGUAGAUGAUCAUUUUUAGUAAAAAAAGAAAAAGUAUGUGGGGAGAAUAUUCAUAUCUUCAGCACUGUUUGACCGAAGUGGAAGCCCAGUAAUUUUAAUUUUUAGAAGCUAUUGGGACACAACAGAUUUUUAUGAAAUAAAGCUAGAUAAGUUUGCAUACUGAUGAUUUUAAAAAUUAUAUAUAAAAGAUAUUUAGUAAUAUAUGUAUUUUCUGAUAAAGAUUACUGAAGUUUUUCUCUACAAAAAGUAAUACAUUUUUAUUGAUGUUUCUGUGGUCCACAUGAAUAAAAUAUUUGUCCUUGAUCUGUGUCAUUUCCUCCUUUUUAAUUCUACAAAUGGGUCAUUUUUAGGUGUCAUUAAUUACUUUGUUUCAAUAAAUAAAUACUGAAGAUGAUUUAACUACCUUUUAAAAAUAUAUGACUUAUGAAUGCUAUAUAUUAGACUGUAUUUUAAUAUGUUAAUUGUGUUUAAAAAUCUGUCCCUUCAAAACUCUAACUUGUUUAAUAGAUUUAAUUGAAUACCACCAGUCUCUGUUAUAAUCAGGACAGCUCAGAAGAGGAGGGGACCCAAAUUAGAAAGAAACCCAGAAUGGAAAAUAAAGAAGAGAGAUUUUUACCCUUAGAAUAAAGCGUUCCAAAAAGAAAAGAUCACUUGUUCUGCCAGCUGCCAUUGUCACGAUUACACUCAAGUAGCCCUACAGAGUGCCAACAUGGAGAGGAGGCUGAGGCCUCUGUCAUCAUGGAACUCCUGCUAACAGCUAUGUGAAUGAACCUUCUUGGAAGCAGAUCCUCUAGCCUCAUCCAAACCUUCAGAUGACUCCAGCCCCUGGUCAACAUUUUAACAGCAACAGCAUGGGAGACCCCAGCCAGAACCAUACAGCUAACCUAUACCCAAAUUCCUGACACAUAGAAACUGUGAGGUAAUAAAUGUUUGUUUUUUUAAGCCACCAAAUUUUUGAGCAAUUUGUUAUGUAGCAAUAGGUGACUAAUACAACACACAAUCUACAAAUCUUGAACACUGCUUUUUUCACAAGUGAAAAAUUAUUGAUAAUACCCAUCAUGCCAAUGAAUAAAACCUAUGGCAUUACUUUAGAUAAAGAUGGCUGAAGUACCUACAGCUUUCAUUUAGACUCUAGACUUUCUUCAUUUCCAAACUCUAAGUCUUUACCCUCCAAGCCAAUGCUGUCCAAUAGAAAUAUAAUGUGAGCCACAGAGGUAAUUUAAAAUCUUCUAGUAGUUGCAUUAAAAAGAAAA